GAUGAACGCUGGCGGCGUGCCUAAUACAUGCAAGUCGAGCGAACAGACGAGGAGCUUGCUCCUCUGACGUUAGCGGCGGACGGGUGAGUAACACGUGGAUAACCUACCUAUAAGACUGGGAUAACUUCGGGAAACCGGAGCUAAUACCGGAUAAUAUAUUGAACCGCAUGGUCAAUUAGUAAAAGACGGUUUUGCUGUCACUUAUAGAUGGAUCCCCGCCGCAUUAGCUAGUUGGUAAGGUACCGGCUUACCAAGGCAACGAUGCGUAGCCGACCUGAGAGGGUGAUCGGCCACACUGGAACUGAGACACGGUCCAGACUCCUACGGGAGGCAGCAGUAGGGAAUCUUCCGCAAUGGGCGAAAGCCUGACGGAGCAACGCCUCGUGAGUGAUGAAGGUCUUCGGAUCGUAAAACUCUGUUAUUAGGGAAGAACAAAUGUGUAAGUAACUAUGCACGUCUUGACGGUACCUAAUCAGAAAGCCACGGCUAACUACGUG
Molecule: ribosomal RNA, 497 nt
Filed under: uncultured bacterium
Lineage: Bacteria
Description: partial 16S ribosomal RNA
Rfam family: Bacterial small subunit ribosomal RNA
Source: RNAcentral